Molecule: long non-coding RNA, 805 nt
Filed under: Homo sapiens (human)
Lineage: Eukaryota; Metazoa; Chordata; Mammalia; Primates; Hominidae
Description: non-protein coding HAGLROS:4
Source: RNAcentral
GACGUGGACCCCGUUUCAGGGCGCCCCGGGCCCCUGCGGGGAACAAUAGCCGCCGCCUCCUGGGCGGUCUGGCGGGCGCGCGGCACAAACGUCCGCGCCGCCACGUGAUGCGCGCGCUCGUUCCGCGCUCUCCGCGCCUCAGCGAGCGGCCAGGCUGCGGGCGGGGUGGGCUGGCGCUCCUGAUCCACCUGGAACACUUUUGCAAAGACAGACGCGGUUCCUCCUACUUCAGAGCAAGUCUGGGCCAGCUGGGAUCCGACCAGAAAUCGCAAGCGGAGGAGACGCAGUAGCGCAGGCUGAGCGCUAACUGAAGGCGCGACCUGAGCCCGGCGCCUGCUGGGGAGCUGCGCAGCCAGGACAGCGGUCGGCAGCACAGGGCCUGGGCGCAGGGCCCGCCGUCACCACCUCACGUCGGAAGCCAGCACUGCUGCCCGCCAGCCCUGCCGCCUGCCCUCGGACUUCCCAGGGCGCCCAGGGUCCUCCCAACGCGCCUGCACCCACACCCGCCCCUGAGCCACAGUGACCUUGCAUUCCCCGCCCCCUGCCACACCUCCUGCGUGCCCGAGUGUCACCCUUAAAUACCGCUCUACACCCAGAGAGGGACGAAUACACCUCUGAAGACAGGGCAAGACUAAUUUCAAUGGGUCAGAAGGUUCUUGCAGGCACUGUUUUAUUUAAGAGUGCCUAUUUACUGGCAGGAGUAUUUGUGUGGGAGGAAGUAGGCUAAGACUGCUGUUGAACUUGAAGCUAAACUUGAAUGCCAUUUAAAAUAACAAUAAAAAUAUACUUAAAACACCAAUCACAA